This 540-nucleotide long non-coding RNA is filed under the name Capsicum annuum. RNAcentral's name for it is "long non-coding RNA (CANN_LNC016597)". The record is from RNAcentral. Lineage: Eukaryota; Viridiplantae; Streptophyta; Magnoliopsida; Solanales; Solanaceae.
AGAAAAUGGCUCUUAUUAUAUGAUAACAACUAAAGUACAAUCAAACGUGUUAUUAAUUAUAUUAAUUUUAAUACAUAAAUAAUUUACUUUUUAAUCGACAACUAUUUUCAAUAAAUUUUAAUUCAUGAAAAAUAAAUUUCAAUCACAAAUCAACUAUGAAAAGCAUAAUUUUAUUGAUAAAGAAUAUGAGUAUAUUUUGUCCAUCGAUCCAUUGAUUCUUCUCUCUUGAUUUUCUCCAUAAUUCGAGGGUCAUUCAUAGCGUAUUCCUCGAAUGUAAGGGGAUUUGAAUUUGAUAUAAAUUUUAUCCGUAAUUCGAGGGUCAUUAGUAGUGUAUUUCUCAAACAUAGAAAGAUUUAGAUCUGGAUUUGAUUUCCAUGAAAGUAGUAUUUGGAUUUUGUAGAUCUCAUAUUUGAUUAUCACGAAGUGAGAGUUUUGACCUAUUUUUGUGAAUAUUCUAUGAGUUUAUCAAAUUUCUGAAAUGGUUGAUCUCUUUAUAAAUAUUCCAUAAAUUUCUGAAAUAUUUGUCUGAAACGGUCGAUC